RNAcentral lists this ribosomal RNA (78 nucleotides) under Penicillium corylophilum. RNAcentral describes it as "partial 5.8S ribosomal RNA". It matches the Rfam family "5.8S ribosomal RNA", at positions 79 to 154 of the family's 154-position model. Rfam says of the family: 5.8S ribosomal RNA (5.8S rRNA) is a component of the large subunit of the eukaryotic ribosome. It is transcribed by RNA polymerase I as part of the 45S precursor that also contains 18S and 28S rRNA. The record is from RNAcentral. Lineage: Eukaryota; Fungi; Ascomycota; Eurotiomycetes; Eurotiales; Aspergillaceae.
AUUCAGUGAAUCAUCGAGUCUUUGAACGCACAUUGCGCCCCUUGGUAUUCCGGGGGGCAUGCCUGUCCGAGCGUCAUU